GAUGAACGCUAGCGACAGGCUUACCUCAUGCAAGUCGAGGGGCAGCACAGGUAGCAAUACCGGGUGGCGACCGGCGCACGGGUGAGUAACGCGUAUGCAACUUACCUAUCAAAGGGGGAUAACCCGGCAAAAGUCGGACUAAUACCGCAUGAAGCAGGGGCCCCGCAUGGGGAUAUUUGCUAAAAAUUUAUCGCUGAUAGAUAGGCAUGCGUUCCAUUAGGCAGUUGGCGGGGUAACGGCCCACCAAACCGACAAUGGAUAGGGGUUCUGAGAGGAAGGUCCCCCACAUUGGUACUGAAACACGGACCAAACUCCUACGGGAGGCAGCAGUGAGGAAUAUUGGUCAAUGGGCGCGAGCCUGAACCAGCCAAGUCGCGUGAGGAAUGAAGGUUCUAUGGAUCGUAAACCUCUUUUAUAAGGGGAUAAAGUGCGGGACGUGUCCCGUUUUGUAUGUACCUUAUGAAUAAGGAUCGGCUAACUCCGUG
This 485-nucleotide ribosomal RNA is filed under the name uncultured bacterium. Its description in RNAcentral is "bacterial SSU rRNA". It matches the Rfam family "Bacterial small subunit ribosomal RNA", at positions 28 to 507 of the family's 1533-position model. The record is from RNAcentral.